RNAcentral lists this ribosomal RNA (253 nucleotides) under uncultured bacterium. RNAcentral describes it as "partial 16S ribosomal RNA". It matches the Rfam family "Bacterial small subunit ribosomal RNA", at positions 524 to 776 of the family's 1533-position model. The record is from RNAcentral.
UACAGAGGGUGCAAGUGUUAAUCGGAGUUACUGGGCGUAAAGCGUGCGUAGGUGGUUUGUUAAGUCAGUCGUUAAAUUCUGGGGCUUAACCUCAGAAUUGCGCUUGAUACUGACAGACUAGAGUGUUGUAGAGGAUAGUGGAAUUGCCGGUGUAGCGGUGAAAUGCGUAGAUAUUGGGAGGAACAUCAGUGGCGAAGUCGGCUAACUGUACCAACACUGACUCUGAGGUACGAAAGCGUGGGUAGCAAACAGG